This 426-nucleotide ribosomal RNA is filed under the name uncultured bacterium. RNAcentral describes it as "partial 16S ribosomal RNA". It matches the Rfam family "Bacterial small subunit ribosomal RNA", at positions 354 to 796 of the family's 1533-position model. The record is from RNAcentral.
GUGAGGAAUUUUCCGCAAUGGGCGAAAGCCUGACGGAGCAAUGCCGCGUGAAGGAUGAAGGCCUAUGGGUUGUAAACUUCUUUUUUUAGAGAAGAAUAUUGACGGUAUCUGAGGAAUAAGCAUCGGCUAACUCUGUGCCAGCAGCCGCGGUAAGACAGAGGAUGCAAGCGUUAUCCGGAAUGAUUGGGCGUAAAGCGUCUGUAGGUGGCUUCAAAAGUCUCUUGUCAAAGAUCAGGGCUUAACCCUGGGCCGGCAGGAGAAACUCUGAGGCUAGAGUUUGGUAGGGGCAGAGGGAAUUCCCGGUGGAGCGGUGAAAUGCGUAGAGAUCGGGAGGAACACCAAAGGCGAAAGCACUCUGCUGGGCCACAACUGACACUGAGAGACGAAAGCGAGGGGAGCAAAAGGGAUUAGAAACCCCAGUAGUCC